Molecule: transfer RNA, 63 nt
Filed under: Anilius scytale (false coral snake)
Lineage: Eukaryota; Metazoa; Chordata; Lepidosauria; Squamata; Aniliidae
Description: tRNA-Pro
Rfam family: tRNA
About the family: Transfer RNA (tRNA) molecules are approximately 80 nucleotides in length. Their secondary structure includes four short double-helical elements and three loops (D, anti-codon, and T loops). Further hydrogen bonds mediate the characteristic L-shaped molecular structure. tRNAs have two regions of fundamental functional importance: the anti-codon, which is responsible for specific mRNA codon recognition, and the 3' end, to which the tRNAs corresponding amino acid is attached (by aminoacyl-tRNA synthetases). tRNAs cope with the degeneracy of the genetic code in two manners: having more than one tRNA (with a specific anti-codon) for a particular amino acid; and 'wobble' base-pairing, i.e. permitting non-standard base-pairing at the 3rd anti-codon position.
Source: RNAcentral
CAAAAAGUAGUUUAAGUUAAAAUACUGGUUUUGGGGACCAGAGAUGGGGCUACCUCUUUUUGA